Molecule: ribosomal RNA, 256 nt
Filed under: uncultured prokaryote
Description: partial 16S ribosomal RNA
Rfam family: Bacterial small subunit ribosomal RNA
Source: RNAcentral
UACGUAGGGGCAAGCGUUAUCCGGAUUUAUUGGGUUUAAAGGGUGCGCAGGUUGUUUGAUAAGUCAGUGGUGAAAGUCUGUCGCUUAACGGUAGGAUUGCCAUUGAUACUGUUGGACUUGAAUAUGGAUGAGGUAGGCGGAAUGUGUAGUGUAGCGGUGAAAUGCAUAGAUAUUACACAGAACACCGAUUGCGAAGGCAGCUUUCUAAUCCAUCAUUGACGCUGAGGCACGAAAGCGUGGGGAUCAAACAGGAUUA